GCUAAACAUCAUUUUAUUUUAUAUAACUAACAGAGUUCACCAUUCAUCAAUCAUUGACCCUACGUAUUUUUAUGACCUGAUUUUGCUAGCGGAAUCCUUAUCUAAAAGACAAGACUAGAUACCAUUUUAAUGCCAAUAGAAAAAAGCAAAGUACGAAUUAAAACAGUAUAUAUAUUUUCCAGUGUACCAAGAUGUUACACCAUAAGCCAAAUGAAGAAUACAAAUUCGUGCAUAAUUUUGGCAGGGACUGUAUACUAUAUAUUCUGCUCUGCUCCUUAUUUCUCUGUAAUUAAAGUGUAAACCAUGCUUCUACAAUAAAGAAACAACAAAUCAAGAUAUAGAAAUGAUACAUGCAUGCAUAUAAUAGCUUACAUUACAUAUAUAGCUGUUUACGCCCAUAUAAAUGUGAAAUUAAGGAUAUAUAUUAGGUAGCUAGUGGCCCCUUGCAAGCAUUUGAUCGUAAUUCUCUAUGGAUUGGAGCCUUUGAAUGAGAAGUUGCUGCCUGAAGUUCUUGAUGAAGGCAUCAGCACUAGCAUUGAUGUCUUCAUUAAUAGGCUUCUUUGUCUGACCAGUGGCCUCAGUCGUCUUCUUUGCCCCAUCAUCUGAACUUGGGUUUCUCUUCUCUAUCCACUUGCUGCUCUCUCCCUCUCUUUGCACUUCUGAUGAAGGUUGUUGCAAGUGACUCUUUCUCAUUCUUUCUUCUCUAAUUGAAUUGAUGUCAAAGAAAGAAAGCUAAUUAGGCUUGUAUUGUAUUUGUAUUUGGUAUUUACAAUGGAAUGGUGCUUCAUGGCUCAUAUAUAUAGAGAGAUAGUUUAAGAUAUACACAGCAACAGCAAGGAAAGGGAAUAUGCUCUUUCCACUUUCUAAUUGAUACCUUUUUAAUUUCGAUCGCAUUAAUCUUGUGAUAUAUUUUCACCUUGGUUUUACCUUCAAACAAAA
RNAcentral lists this long non-coding RNA (939 nucleotides) under Glycine max (soybean). RNAcentral describes it as "long non-coding RNA (GMAX_LNC003306)". The record is from RNAcentral. Lineage: Eukaryota; Viridiplantae; Streptophyta; Magnoliopsida; Fabales; Fabaceae.